AGCCGGAAUUGCUAGUAAUGGCAGGUCAGCAUACUGCCGUGAAUACGUUCCCGGGCCCUUGUACACACCGCCCGUCACACCAUGAGAGUUGGGAUACCCGAAGCCUGUGAGCUAACAGUAAUGGAGCAGCAGUCGAAGGUAGAAUCAAUGAUUGGGGUGAAGUCGUAACAAGGUAAC
This 177-nucleotide ribosomal RNA is filed under the name uncultured bacterium. RNAcentral describes it as "partial 16S ribosomal RNA". It matches the Rfam family "Bacterial small subunit ribosomal RNA", at positions 1324 to 1500 of the family's 1533-position model. The record is from RNAcentral.